AACCAGCACCUCAAGUGGUCAGGAUGAUUAUUGGGCCUAAAGCAUCCGUAGCCUGUUCUGUAAGUUUUCGGUUAAAUCUAUACGCUCAACGUAUAGGCUGCCGGAAAUACUGCAGAGCUAGGGAGUGGGAGAGGUAGACGGUACUCGGUAGGAAGGGGUAAAAUCCUUUGAUCUAUUGAUGACCACCUGUGGCGAAGGCGGUCUACCAGAACACGUUCGACGGUGAGGGAUGAAAGCUGGGGGAGCAAACCGG
This 253-nucleotide ribosomal RNA is filed under the name uncultured archaeon. RNAcentral describes it as "partial 16S ribosomal RNA". It matches the Rfam family "Archaeal small subunit ribosomal RNA", at positions 474 to 727 of the family's 1478-position model. The record is from RNAcentral.